RNAcentral lists this ribosomal RNA (258 nucleotides) under uncultured bacterium. RNAcentral's name for it is "partial 16S ribosomal RNA". It matches the Rfam family "Bacterial small subunit ribosomal RNA", at positions 524 to 776 of the family's 1533-position model. The record is from RNAcentral.
UACGGAGGGUGCGAGCGUUGUCCGGAAUCACUGGGCGUAAAGGGCGCGUAUGGUGGCCGUGUGGAAGUCUGCGGUGAAAGUCCGGCGGCUCAACGCCGGAUCGGCCGUGGAUACUCUCGGGCUUGAGCUUACUAGAGGCAGAUGGAAUUCCGGGUGUAGCGGUGGAAUGCGUAGAGAUCCGGAAGAACACCGGUGGCGAAGGCGGUCUGCUGGGCAGUUGGCUGACACUGAGGCGCGACAGCGUGGGGAGCGAACAGG